Molecule: ribosomal RNA, 253 nt
Filed under: uncultured bacterium
Lineage: Bacteria
Description: partial 16S ribosomal RNA
Rfam family: Bacterial small subunit ribosomal RNA
Source: RNAcentral
GACAGAGGGUGCAAACGUUGUUCGGAAUUACUGGGCGUAAAGCGUGUGUGAGCGGCCGCGUAAGUCGGAUGUGAAAGCCCUGGGCUCAACCCAGGAAGUGCACUCGAUACUGCGUGGCUUGAGUACUGGAGAGGUUGGUGGAAUUCUCGGUGUAGAGGUGAAAUUCGUAGAUAUCGAGAGGAACACCGGUGGCGAAGGCGGCCAACUGGACAGAUACUGACGCUGAGACACGAAAGCGUGGGGAGCAAACAGG